MicroRNA precursor from Cercocebus atys (sooty mangabey), 85 nucleotides. NCBI's taxonomy places the organism in Eukaryota, Metazoa, Chordata, Mammalia, Primates, Cercopithecidae. The record is from Ensembl.
AAACUAUUAGGUUGGUGCAAAAGUAAUCACGGUUUUUGCAAUUACUUUAAAUGGCAAAAACUGCAAUUACUUUUGUGCCAACCUA